GCUAGUGGCUAGGAUGCCACACAGGUUGAAUUUUUUGCUUACCUAAGAGUUAUUUAUAUUUGAUUCCAAACUAUUUAUGCCAGUUUUGGAUUUGGAAAAG
Callorhinus ursinus (northern fur seal) is the source of this 100-nucleotide non-coding RNA. The record is from RefSeq and is a predicted model, not a curated record. NCBI's taxonomy places the organism in Eukaryota, Metazoa, Chordata, Mammalia, Carnivora, Otariidae.